CUCUUACAGAAAGGCUGGAUUGCUCUCUUUGAGCCAGCACAUGGAUGAAAGUCUGCUAUCAAAGCCUCAUUUACCAAAGAGGUAGAUAGCAAUUUUAUGUAUUGAGGGAACAAAAAAAAACCAGCCUCACUCUUGGACACCUGCCUUUCAGAUACACAUUUGUCAGUCAGAGAACUGAGUGCUGCAGAUGCAAAGCAAACACUUUCAUGUCUUCUCUGAGUAUGUUUUAAGGCCAGUUUUCCUGCAUGGGUUUCCAUAAUGGUUAUUGUAUAUAAUUUUGUAGCUUCUGCAAGCUGUAAUUUGGUCCAGACCCCAUAGCUUCCAGAUGGUUUUGGAUAAAUAGGAGUUGAACACUUGUUAUAGAUGCUAUUCCAAAUAUCAUUUUCCCAUAUGCAGUGUUGCAUAUGUUGUUUGUGACAUACAGCUAAUGACAGAAAGCAGUAACACCACCAUUGCUGGAAGUGUUCCAAAGGCAUGUGGAUGUGGCACUUGGGGAUGUGGUUUGCUGGGGAACACGGUGGUGCUGAUUUAAUAGUUGGACUCGAUGAUGCAGAUAUUUUUCAGCCAUAGUACUGUUAUGAUUCUAUCAAUGCUUCCUGUAAAUGUUGCUUAUAUGUGUGAAGAAUGCCUCUCAAAAUGUGUAGUUAACAUCUGAACAUUUAGAUACUUUUCAGAGCCAGUGAAGACUUUUUUUUUUUUUUUAGAUACUGACCGAGCUUUAGUACUGCUGGAAGAAUAUUGCAAAAAACUGCGGAAGCCAGAAGAGCAGCAACUGAAAAAAGCCAUCAGAAAGGUGAUGGGCAUCUUUAAGAGCAGCUUGUUUCAGGCACUCCUAGAUAGCUUCAAAAAGAAAGCAACCAGACAUGGAACUACGUCCCACACGUCAUUGCCAGCAGCUCUUGCAUGUGAUGUCCUUGGAUGCCCUAAAGAUUAGCCAGUCUCAUCCAUCUGGCCCAUGUCACAGGGAUCAAAGGCAUUUUUCCCUCUACAAACUUAAGCUCAUGCUCUCUGAAAGUGAAGAGAACAAAUUUCAAGUUAGAGUCUGA
RNAcentral lists this long non-coding RNA (1046 nucleotides) under Taeniopygia guttata (zebra finch). Its description in RNAcentral is "lncRNA (ENSTGUG00000024033.1)". The record is from RNAcentral. Lineage: Eukaryota; Metazoa; Chordata; Aves; Passeriformes; Estrildidae.